UGCGAAGGGGGCUAGCGUUGCUCGGAAUUACUGGGCGUAAAGGGCGCGUAGGCGGAUACUUAAGUCGGGGGUGAAAGCCCAGGGCUCAACCCUGGAACAGCCUUCGAUACUGGGUAUCUUGAGUACGGGAGAGGUGAGUGGAACUCCGAGUGUAGAGGUGAAAUUCGUAGAUAUUCGGAAGAACACCAGUGGCGAAGGCGACUCACUGGCCCGUUACUGACGCUGAGGCGCGAAAGCGUGGGGAGCAAACAGG
Molecule: ribosomal RNA, 253 nt
Filed under: uncultured bacterium
Lineage: Bacteria
Description: partial 16S ribosomal RNA
Rfam family: Bacterial small subunit ribosomal RNA
Source: RNAcentral